CUUCACCGAGCCGAGCAGCAGCGGCGGCGCCUCCCCCCGGUCCUGCCCGUACGUGGCGAUGAGCGCCUGCGCCUC
RNAcentral lists this antisense RNA (75 nucleotides) under Micromonospora echinofusca. RNAcentral's name for it is "ASpks TB sRNA". It matches the Rfam family "ASpks TB sRNA". The record is from Rfam by way of RNAcentral. Lineage: Bacteria; Bacillati; Actinomycetota; Actinomycetes; Micromonosporales; Micromonosporaceae.